RNAcentral lists this long non-coding RNA (1193 nucleotides) under Piliocolobus tephrosceles (Ugandan red Colobus). RNAcentral's name for it is "lncRNA (ENSPTEG00000003694.1)". The record is from RNAcentral. Lineage: Eukaryota; Metazoa; Chordata; Mammalia; Primates; Cercopithecidae.
AAAAGAAAAAAAAAGUGAUUAAUUGAAUGAUUAUGGAAAACAUGAUUAUAGAAAAACGAGUCGAUAACCGCCACUUCGAUUACUUGUUACCGGUCCAUAUCGACAUGGACCAGAUUAAUACUAUAAACAAAACAUGUAAAUAUAUAAGUGGUAAUAUAAACCCAGAUAUAUAUAAUAAGAACACAAAUAACAAAUUAACUAAAGUUAUUGGAGGAAAAUAUAACUAUGAACUGUUAGAAAAAAAUGGAAGUACUAAAAUAUUAUGGGGUAACGCAACAAGCAGUAUAGUAAUAACAACAUUCAUAGGGUUAACACAAAAUCAAAUUACAGUAAAUAAAAAUACAGAAUAUGCACAAAUAAAUUUAAGAAUUAGAAAUAUACAAGGAUAUCGUAAUGAAAGAGAAAAAAUGUUGGAAGAGAUAGUAAUUAAAACUUUUGAACAAAUAAUUGAUAAAAGUUCAUAUAAAUUUCAACAAUUUAUUUUUCGAGUACAAAUAAUAAAUGAAUAUACCUACAUUUUAUCAAGUAUAAUAAACUCUAUUAUGUUAAAUUUGAUUUAUAAUAAUAUAACACUUAAUUAUAUAAUAUAUUCAAUAAAUAUUGGUGUAGUGGAUAAAGAAAGUUUUAAUAAAUAUGUUCAAAAUAAAUAUACUACAUCAACUUAUGUUUCAGAGAAGGAAUCUAAGAGUUUCUAUGAUAUUAAACAAAGUGCAGUGGAACAAGUAAUACAUAAAAAAGGGAAUGAUAAUACUAAAGGAGAAGAUAAAAACAUAAUAAAACCAACUGAAACAAAUGAAUUAAUUUAUGAAAAACAUAAACAUACAUUCUUUUACCAAUAUGACAACUUAUAUAUCCCCAAAAUUAUUUUAGACCCUCUUGAUAUAGAAAUAGAGUUAUACUGUAGUAGUGCCUUUUGUUAUAUUGUUGCUCCUAGUUUUACUAAAAUAUUAUCAAACAUUUUAAUAAAAACUCAUACAGGUAUUUCUAAAGAAAUUAACGACCUGUGUAAAUCUUACGCUUGUGAGAGUACAAAGGUACUACAUGAAAAUAUUAAAAAAGGAUAUGCUAACCAUUUAAAACAAGUGGAGGUAUUUAUGAAUGCUAACUAUUUUGCUUAGCAUAGCGCGCUGUACUACUAACUGGAGUACAAGUAGAUAAAUAAAUAAAUAAAAAAAAAAAAAUAAAAAAUAAAU